RNAcentral lists this ribosomal RNA (2174 nucleotides) under human gut metagenome. RNAcentral's name for it is "bacterial LSU rRNA". It matches the Rfam family "Bacterial large subunit ribosomal RNA", at positions 447 to 2641 of the family's 2925-position model. The record is from RNAcentral.
CCGGGACCAUCCGGUAAGGCUAAAUACUCCCGAGAGACCGAUAGCGAACCAGUACCGUGAGGGAAAGGUGAAAAGAACCCCGAGCAGGGGAGUGAAAUAGACCCUGAACCCGUCUGCCUACAAGCGGUCGGAGCGUCGUAAUGACGUGACGGCGUGCCUUUUGCAUAAUGAACCUACGAGUUACCUUCCCCGGCAAGGUUAAGUACCUAAGGUACGGAGCCGAAGCGAAAGCGAGUCUGAACAGGGCGCCAAGUCGGGGGGGGUAGACGCGAAACCGAGUGAUCUACCCUUGGCCAGGUUGAAGGUUGGGUAACACCAACUGGAGGACCGGAUGGGUAAGCGUUGAAAAGCUUUCCAAUGAGCUGAGGGUAGGGGUGAAAGGCUAAUCAAACUCGGAGAUAGCUCGUACUCCCCGAAAUGCAUUUAGGUGCAGCCUCUUUAUAGUAUAUCGUGAGGUAGAGCGACUGAUUGGAUGCGAGGGCUUCACCGCCUAUCAAGUCCAGAUAAACUCCGAAUGCGCGAUAUAUAUUUACAGGGAGUGAGGGCGCGGGUGCUAAGGUCCGUGUCCGAGAGGAGAAGAAUCCAGACCACCGGCUAAGGCCCCCAAAUGAUCGUCAAGUUGAACUAACGAGGUCGGAUCGCAGAGACAGCUAGGAUGUUGGCUUGGAAGCAGCCAUUCAUUUAAAGAGUGCGUAACAGCUCACUAGUCGAGCGAUCUGGCGUGGAUAAUAAUCGGGCAUAAACGAUCUGCCGAAGCCGUGGAUGUCGCAAGACAUGGUAGGGGAGCAUUCCAUGCGGCGUCGAAGAUGAGGGAUGACCCUUGUUGGAGCGCAUGGAAAAGCAAAUGUAGGUAUGAGUAACGAUAAGGGGGGCGAGAAACCCCCCCGCCGAAAGACCAAGGUUUCCUGAUCAACGCUAAUCGGAUCAGGGUGAGUCGGGACCUAAGGCAAAGCCGAACGGCGCCGCCGAUGGAAGAAUGGGUUAAUAUUCCCAUACUGCCUCAUGGAGUGACGUGGAGACGGAGAAGUGACAGUCCUGCCGGCUGACGGAAUAGCCGGUUGAAGGGUGUAGAUAUUGAUUCCCGUAGGCAAAUCCGCGGGGAGAGUCGAACCUGAGAGUAUACGGAGCGCUUGCGCAACGUAAUAUGGACGUAACCAUGCUCCCGAGAAAAUCCGCUAAACUUAUCCAUGCGGCACCCGUACCGUAAACGGACACACGUGGUCGGGUUGAGAAUACUGAGGCGCUCGAGUGAUUCACGGUUAAGGAACUAGGCAAAUUGACCCUGUAACUUCGGGAUAAAGGGUCCCAACGAGAGUUGGGCGCAGAGAAUAGGUCCAGGCAACUGUUUAACAAAAACACAGGGCUGUGCCAAUAUGAAAGUAGACGUAUACAGCCUGACACCUGCCCGGUGCUGGAAGGUUAAGAGGAGAUGUCAUCGCAAGAGAAGCAUUGAAUUGAAGCCCCAGUAAACGGCGGCCGUAACUAUAACGGUCCUAAGGUAGCGAAAUUCCUUGUCGGGUAAGUUCCGACCUGCACGAAUGGUGUAAUGAUCUGGACGCUGUCUCAACCGUGAGCUCAGUGAAAUUGUAGUAUCGGUGAAGAUGCCGAUUACCCGCGAUGGGACGAAAAGACCCCGUGAACCUUUACUAUAGCUUAACAUUGAAUUUGGGUAAUUGAUGUGUAGGAUAGGCCGGAGACUUUGAAGCAGGUACGCCAGUAUUUGUGGAGUCGCUGUUGAAAUACGGCCCUUUGAUUAUUUGAGUUCUAACUCGCAGUCGCGAGGACACUGUUUGGUGGGUAGUUUGACUGGGGUGGUCGCCUCCAAAAGUGUAACGGAGGCUUCUAAAGGUGCCCUCACGCCGAUUGGUAACCGGCGGCAGAGUGUAAUGGCAUAAGGGCGCUUGACUGGGAGACUUACAAGUCGAUCAGGUAGGAAACUAGAGCAUAGUGAUCCGGUGUUUCCGUAUGGAAGGGACAUCGCUCAAAGGAUAAAAGGUACUCCGGGGAUAACAGGCUGAUCCCUCCCAAGAGCUCAUAUCGACGGAGUGGUUUGGCACCUCGAUGUCGGCUCGUCACAUCCUGGGGCUGGAGAAGGUCCCAAGGGUUGGGCUGUUCGCCCAUUAAAGUGGCACGCGAGCUGGGUUCAGAACGUCGUGAGACAGUUCGGUCUCUAU